Molecule: ribosomal RNA, 275 nt
Filed under: uncultured bacterium
Lineage: Bacteria
Description: partial 16S ribosomal RNA
Rfam family: Bacterial small subunit ribosomal RNA
Source: RNAcentral
CCUACGGGUGGCUGCAGUAGGGAAUAUUGGGCAAUGGGGGCAACCCUGACCCAGCCAUGCCGCGUGAAGGACGAAGGCGCUCAGCGUUGUAAACUUCUUUUACCAGGGAAGAACGAGCAGGGUGCGCCCUGCUGUGCCGGUACCUGGGGAAUCAGCACCGGCUAACUCCGUGCCAGCAGCCGCGGUAAUACGGAGGGUGCGAGCGUUGUCCGGAUUUAUUGGGUUUAAAGGGUGCGUAGGUGGUUCUGUAAGUCUGGUUUGAAAGCUGGUCGCUC